This 1623-nucleotide long non-coding RNA is filed under the name Gossypium barbadense (sea-island cotton). RNAcentral's name for it is "long non-coding RNA (GBAR_LNC017261)". The record is from RNAcentral. Lineage: Eukaryota; Viridiplantae; Streptophyta; Magnoliopsida; Malvales; Malvaceae.
GAUCACAUAUAUAUACACUAGUUUGUAUUCAUAUGCAAUGACAAUCCACUGUACAUAUUAACUUUAUAAUAUUUUUAUGUUAUUAUUUUUGUUUAAAAUCAUUAAUGAAAUGAAAAUAUAUAAUGUAAUCAAACAGAAAAUGGAACUUGGAGUUAAUUCAGAAUACCUUUUCUGAGGACAUAGUUCAGAAAAUCCUUCAAAUUCCCCUUGCAGAGACUGCGCAUAAUGAUUUUCAAGCUUGGAAAGCGGAGUUAUGCGGUGAGUUCUCUGUUCGCAGUGCCUAUAAACUAUUACAAAACGCAAAUAUGGAUCCUAGUGACUAUUUAUUACAAACCGAAACAAAGGAUUUUUACAAAAAACUAUGGAGCCUUCAGCUACCAUCUAAAAUUGCGUUUACAGUCUGGCGGAUCUCUUGGGACUUUAUUCCAAGCUUUGUGAAACUCAGAAUAAGGAGAGUGGUGUCAAACGACAGAUGUCCCCGGUGCAACUCUGAGGUAGAAGGCAGCCUCCACGUCUUUCGAGAUUGCCCUACGACAGCAGAGGUGUGGCAUUUGUUAAAUUUCGCAUGGGCUAUGAACAAUAGGAGCCAUACUAUAUGGGAGUGGUUAACCUGGGUCUUCAAGAGGGGAAACAAUGACCAAUGCUUUUCCUUUUGCUAUGCGCUAUGGUGGAUAUGGUUUUCUAGAAAUCAACUUAUUCAUGAGAGAAAUAUCAUUCCAGGAAGGGCUUUAGUACUUAACAUUCAACGAUAUGUGUCAGAACAGAAAGGAUUAAAUGGUUUAAAAACUAAGGCGAUCACAUGCAGAAGCUAUAGAGUACAAGAGCUUACACCGACAGCCAGGAUCCAUUUUGAUGCAGCAUACGACAGUAAUACUUCCAGUUCAGCGUCCAGUCUUGUAGGUUGGGACAUGAGGGGAGUCUUGAUAGCGUUAAAAACAAUUAUUCAUAGAAAUGUUCCUUCUCCUUUCGCAGCAGAGGCUCAUGCAUGUUUAGAAGGAGUAAAGUUAGGGAUUUCAUUACAAAUCCAUUCAGUGAAACUUAUGGGGGAUUCAAAAACUGUUAUAAAGAAAUGUCAAGAGACUUCCACAGACAAAUCAGUUAUUGGAGCCAUUAUCAGAGAUAUUCAACAAAAGAAAUCAGACUUUCAAGAUCUUAUUUUCCAGUAUAUUCACAGGUCGGAAAACUUAGAUGCUCACAGAAUAGCAAAGAUUGCAUUUGAGAAAGGAGAGACGUUUUACCUGAGGGGUGAGGAACUGAAUAGUCAGAAUCUGGCUUUGGUAGGAUAUCGGCCAAGAAAUCCAGAUUGAGGAACUGCUUCAGAGGAAAUGUGACUGAAACAGAUAGCAGAGUGAAGAAUGAAUGCUUAGGGGACUGCUAUUAAUUAAAUGUUCGGAGCUUUGGAAAUUACAAAUCGUCAGACGUUAUUGGUUGCCAGCUGCUCAUUGAUUUGACUGGGUUAGGUUUUAAUAAGCUUUCUUUCCUUUUAUUGAUUUGAUGUUUCCUUUUGCAAGACAGAAGUCUGAUAGUUUUUAAGUUUUUUCAUUGUUGUUUUUUCAUUGUUUCUUUGUUUGGGCCAUUGUUUUGGGCCGUCUGUUUUUAGUUUAUUUAUUAAUAAAAUCCCAG